GCCGAUUCUAUACCGUUUGGCAGGGAUCUCUUUCCUGUAUGACAAUAGUAAUAUCCGAGGAAUCAGGUCAACUGGGGAUUCGCGAUGUUCUAUUGGCAAAAUGCAGCUUUUGUUGCAUCAUUGGCUAUUGGAUUGGUCCAUGAAGCGAGAGAUAGAUUCCUGUGUCAUUCGUACCGAUGACCGCAUCAGGUCUCCGAGGUGAGUAGCCUAUGGCCAUUGAGGCAUGAUAGUUCAGGGAAUUCGGCCAAUUAGAGCUGUAACUUCGGGAUAAAGCUUGGCUCUGAUGAAAAUCAGAACCGAUUGUUACGAGGAGAGCCCAACUGUUUAAUAAAAACACAGCGUCGCGCUGUUCUCUUAUAGGAAGUUAACGCGACGUGAAUCCUGCUCAGUGCUGUGUCUGUUAAUAUGGUUCAAGCCAACGAAGCACCGGUAAAUAGCUGGGGUAACUAUGACUCUUAUCAAAGUAGCGAAAUACCUCGUCACUUAAUUAGUGACCUGCAUGAACGGAGCAACGAGGUUCUCACUGUCCCAAACUGUCUCUCAGCGAACCAUCUGUAGUGGGAACGGUCACUAACUAUCCAGCGGGGAAAGAAGACCCUGUAGAGCUUCACUUUGGUCUAGUCUUGUAUAGUUCUGGCGGGGGUGCAGACUAGGUGGGAGAGCAAUCGAUUAUGAGAAACCACUACCCUGUUUGGAAUUAUGCUUACCUCCUUGAGGAAUCGGACUAGAUAGAAAGUUUGGCUGGGGCGGCACACCUUCGAAAAUGCAGCGAAGGUGUCCUAAGUUGAGCUCAGUGAGGACAGAAAUCUCACGUUGAGGAUAAGGCCAAAAGCUCAAUUUACUGUGCCUUUUUGUACUAGGACCAGUUUGGAAACAAAGGCCUAACGAUCCCUAAUUAGUCUUAGGUGCGUAAGACUUGGGGUGACAGACAAGUUACCUCCGGGACAACUGGCUUGUGGCUGCUAAGAGAUCAAAUCAACGCAGCUUUUUGAUUCUUCGAUGUCGGCUCUUCCUAUCCUAGUGAUGUACAAGUUACUAAGGGUUGGAUUGUUCACCCGUAUUAGGGAUCGUGAGCUGGGUUUAGACCGUCGUGAGCCAGGUUUGUUUUAUCCUACUGGAUAUACCAUCAUGAUAGUAGUUUGAUUUAGUACGAGAGGAACUGUUGAAUAUGGCCUCUGGUUAGCGGUUUUGGGAAACCGAACGCCGCGCAGCUACGCCGUCUGGGAUAAUGGCUGAAGGCCUCUUAAGCCAGAAACUCAUCUAGAAAAUGAUGGAUUAUGUACGAUCUCCUGCAGAAUAAUUUAUUUUCGUGGAGCAGUACGUAUGGUAACCCAAUGUAGAAGACAUUGUGUCAACGAGGGUCCUGUAAGUGGUGGAGUGGCAUUACGUCCACGACCUAUUGAGGGUCAGCCUUGUUUGUUGGUUUCCAAUAUUUGG
RNAcentral lists this ribosomal RNA (1437 nucleotides) under sediment metagenome. RNAcentral describes it as "eukaryotic LSU rRNA". It matches the Rfam family "Eukaryotic large subunit ribosomal RNA", at positions 1667 to 3401 of the family's 3401-position model. The record is from RNAcentral.